RNAcentral lists this unclassified non-coding RNA (514 nucleotides) under Hevea brasiliensis (rubber tree). Lineage: Eukaryota; Viridiplantae; Streptophyta; Magnoliopsida; Malpighiales; Euphorbiaceae. The record is from RNAcentral.
UGCUCAGUUAACUCUUCUUGUCUUGCGUGAGAUCAACAAAGUUCUGCUUCUGCUUUCAGAAAGAACAGAAUACCAGAUAUCUGCAGGUCCCGAGGCACGACAGAUAACAGGUCCUGCAACUCCAGCACAGGUGAAGAACUUUGCGUUAUGCCAGCAUCUGCAAGAAAUUCAUACCCGCAUAUCGUCUAUGGUGGCAGGAUUACCAGCUAUUGCAACCGAUAUUUUGUCUCCCGCACUGGGAUCUAUCUAUGGGGUUGCAGGUGAUUCAGUGACACCACUAUUCCAAUCAAUGCUUGAUCGACUGGAGUCAUGCAUCUUGCAAAUUCAUGAUCAAAAUUUUGGUAGUCUCGGCAUGGAUGCUGCUAUGGACAAUAAUGCAUCACCUUAUAUGGAAGAGUUGCAGAAGAGCAUUCUCCAUUUCCGUAGUGAGUUCCUGUCCAGGCUGUUGCCUUCUUCGGCAAAUAGCUUGACUACAGGUUCAGAAACUAUUUGUACUACCCUCGUGAGGAGCAUG